This 442-nucleotide ribosomal RNA is filed under the name uncultured bacterium. RNAcentral's name for it is "bacterial SSU rRNA". It matches the Rfam family "Bacterial small subunit ribosomal RNA", at positions 958 to 1398 of the family's 1533-position model. The record is from RNAcentral.
AACGCGAAGAACCUUACCUGGGCUCGAAAUGUUAUGGACCGGAGUAGAAAUAUUCCUUCCCCGCAAGGGGCCGUAAUAUAGGUGCUGCAUGGCUGUCGUCAGCUCGUGUCGUGAGAUGUUGGGUUAAGUCCCGCAACGAGCGCAACCCUUAUUGCCAGUUGCCAUCGGGUCAAGCCGGGCACUCUGGCGAAACCGCCCUAGAUAAUGGGGAGGAAGGUGGGGAUGACGUCAAGUCCUCAUGGCCUUUAUGUCCAGGGCUACACACGUGCUACAAUGGCCGGUACAAACCGUCGCAAACCCGCGAGGGGGAGCUAAUCGGAAAAAGCCGGCCUCAGUUCGGAUUGGAGUCUGCAACUCGACUCCAUGAAGCUGGAAUCGCUAGUAAUCGCAGAUCAGAACGCUGCGGUGAAUACGUUCCCGGGCCUUGUACACACCGCUAGUC